GGUAAGGCGCUGCCAGAGGCCGUGGUAAAGCGGAGGGGGGAAGGGUUGGUCGGAAUCACGUGGCGGAAAGCGCUGGUAUGCGGUCUUUUAAGUCUGAUGGGAAAUCCCGGGGCUCACCCCCGGAAGUGCAUUGGAAACUGGGAGACUGGAGUACCGGAGAGGAGGGUGGAAUUCCUGGUGUAGCGGUGAAAUGCGUAGAUAUCAGGAGGAACACCGGUGGCGAAGGCGGCCCUCUGGACGGAUACUGACGCUGAGACGCGAAAGCGUGGGGAGCAAACAGGAUUAGAUACCCGUGUAGUC
Molecule: ribosomal RNA, 300 nt
Filed under: uncultured Pyrobaculum sp.
Lineage: Archaea; Thermoproteati; Thermoproteota; Thermoprotei; Thermoproteales; Thermoproteaceae
Description: bacterial SSU rRNA
Rfam family: Bacterial small subunit ribosomal RNA
Source: RNAcentral